Molecule: small RNA, 212 nt
Filed under: Bordetella sp.
Lineage: Bacteria; Pseudomonadati; Pseudomonadota; Betaproteobacteria; Burkholderiales; Alcaligenaceae
Also listed under: 1 other name
Description: Manganese sequence
Rfam family: Manganese Mn2+ riboswitch aptamer (yybP-ykoY)
About the family: This RNA was originally discovered in E. coli during a large scale screen and was named SraF. The family was later found to exist upstream of related families of protein genes in many bacteria, including the the yybP and ykoK genes in B. subtilis. The specific functions of these proteins are unknown, but this structured RNA element may be involved in their genetic regulation as a riboswitch.
Source: RNAcentral
GCCGUGUUCAUUGGGGAGUAGCCAUCCUUAUCCCCAAGGAGUUUGCGUCAACAUACUUGGUGGUUCUUACCCCAUGGCGUAAACGGCAGCCUUCCGUCACGGGAUUUUCCCGUCAACGGUGGCCCAGCCAGGCGAGACCUUUGGCCACGACGCGCUACCCUGCCGGGCGAGCCGCGUCGUCGCGCCAUUGGCUAUCCGCUCGUCCGGCUGUU